AGUUUGAUCCUGGCUCAGGAUGAACGCUAGCUACAGGCUUAACACAUGCAAGUCGAGGGGCAGCAUUUCAGUUUGCUUGCAAACUGGAGAUGGCGACCGGCGCACGGGUGAGUAACACGUAUCCAACCUGCCGAUAACUCGGGGAUAGCCUUUCGAAAGAAAGAUUAAUACCCGAUGGUAUAAUUAGACCGCAUGGUCUUGUUAUUAAAGAAUUUCGGUUAUCGAUGGGGAUGCGUUCCAUUAGGCAGUUGGUGAGGUAACGGCUCACCAAACCUUCGAUGGAUAGGGGUUCUGAGAGGAAGGUCCCCCACAUUGGAACUGAGACACGGUCCAAACUCCUACGGGAGGCAGCAGUGAGGAAUAUUGGUCAAUGGGCGCAGGCCUGAACCAGCCAAGUAGCGUGAAGGAUGACUGCCCUAUGGGUUGUAAACUUCUUUUAUAUGGGAAUAAAGUUUUCCACGUGUGGAAUUUUGUAUGUACCAUAUGAAUAAGGAUCGGCUAACUCCGUGCCAGCAGCCGCGGUAAUACAGAGGAUCCGAGCGUUAUCCGGAUUUAUUGGGUUUAAAGGGAGCGUAGGUGGACAGUUAAGUCAGUUGUGAAAGUUUGCGGCUCAACCGUAAAAUUGCAGUUGAUACUGGCUGUCUUGAGUACAGUAGAGGUGGGCGGAAUUCGUGGUGUAGCGGUGAAAUGCUUAGAUAUCACGAAGAACUCCGAUUGCGAAGGCAGCUCACUGGACUGCAACUGACACUGAUGCUCGAAAGUGUGGGUAUCAAACAGGAUUAGAUACCCUGGUAGUCCACACAGUAAACGAUGAAUACUCGCUGUUUGCGAUAUACAGUAAGCGGCCAAGCGAAAGCAUUAAGUAUUCCACCUGGGGAGUACGCCGGCAACGGUGAAACUCAAAGGAAUUGACGGGGGCCCGCACAAGCGGAGGAACAUGUGGUUUAAUUCGAUGAUACGCGAGGAACCUUACCCGGGCUUAAAUUGCAUUUGAAUAUAUUGGAAACAGUAUAGUCGUAAGACAAAUGUGAAGGUGCUGCAUGGUUGUCGUCAGCUCGUGCCGUGAGGUGUCGGCUUAAGUGCCAUAACGAGCGCAACCCUUAUCUUUAGUUACUAACAGGUCAUGCUGAGGACUCUAGAGAGACUGCCGUCGUAAGAUGUGAGGAAGGUGG
RNAcentral lists this ribosomal RNA (1172 nucleotides) under uncultured Bacteroides sp. RNAcentral describes it as "bacterial SSU rRNA". It matches the Rfam family "Bacterial small subunit ribosomal RNA", at positions 10 to 1176 of the family's 1533-position model. Lineage: Bacteria; Pseudomonadati; Bacteroidota; Bacteroidia; Bacteroidales; Bacteroidaceae. The record is from RNAcentral.